GGGCCCGCACAAGCGGUGGAGUAUGUGGUUUAAUUCGAUGCAACGCGAAGAACCUUACCAGGUCUUGACAUCCUCGGAAUUUGGCAGAGAUGCCUUAGUGCCUUCGGGAGCCGAGUGACAGGUGCUGCAUGGCCGUCGUCAGCUCGUGUCGUGAGAUGUUGGGUUAAGUCCCGUAACGAGCGCAACCCUUGUCCUUAGUUGCCAGCACGUCAUGGUGGGAACUCUAGGGAGACUGCCGGUGACAAACCGGAGGAAGGUGGGGACGACGUCAGGUCAUCAUGGCCCUUACGACCUGGGCUACACACGUGCUACAAUGGCUGGUACAGAGGGUUGCGAAGUCGCGAGGCGAAGCUAAUCCCUUAAAGCCAGUCGUAGUCCGGAUCGGAGUCUGCAACUCGACUCCGUGAAGUCGGAAUCGCUAGUAAUCGCGGAU
RNAcentral lists this ribosomal RNA (433 nucleotides) under uncultured bacterium. RNAcentral describes it as "bacterial SSU rRNA". It matches the Rfam family "Bacterial small subunit ribosomal RNA", at positions 917 to 1349 of the family's 1533-position model. The record is from RNAcentral.